AUAAGGUUAUGGUGGUGGAGUCCGAGGCAAGUUCUAAAUUAAUUUUCGAGUUUUCAGAUUGUUUGAACGCAGUAUUUUAUUUUUUCAAACAGUUCAGGUGACAGUUAUUAAUCAUUUAUCAUUCAUGUUCCUGUCAGAUAUGGGUGUCAUAGAAUUUAAGGACUUUGGUAACUAGUUACGCACCCUUGGUCAAGUGCUUUGAUGAAUCAUGAUGCAAUUGUGAGUACGUACUCAUUUAGUUCCUUUCCUUCUCUCUCAGCGGUCCCAUUCCAGUUCAUUUCUUCGAGAUGGCUUCUACUGCAGCAGAUCCUGAAGUGCUGUUUGAACUAGAAAAUCUUGUCGAAGAUCUCACGCACUCUGGUCAGAAAACCUUGGACGCAUCUAAACUGAAAAGACUUAAGUCAAUCUGCAAACAGUCUUCUUCUUACAUUGAAAGGAUGUACACACUUGUCAUGGACUUCAUGAAAAAAGAUCAUGCAGAAAUUCGAUUCAGCGCUUUUCAGAUCUGCGAUGAAUUUUUCAGGAGAUCUCACCUUUUUCGUGAGCUCAUCAUUGCAGAUUUACAGCAAAUUUUCGAAUUGACAGCAGAGAUCAAUGCUAAAAAUCGAAUGCCACCACCCAGAAAAGUAGCAGAAAACCUGAAGAAAAUGGCUUUGAAAACUGUGAAGGAAUGGAAUUCAGUCUAUGGACCUGCAUAUAAAAGGCUUUCUUUAGGACUCCAAUAUCUACAAAAAUGUGCAAAGAUUAAUUUUGAGCGCUUAGAAAGAGAGGAAUCGUUAACUCGUGAUUUAAAUAGACAGAUUGAAAGGAGGAAACGAAUGGAAAUAGAGGCCAAAUUAAUUAAACUACAUGCUGAAAUUUCAGAGAAUGAAACAGAAAUCAGGAUGGCAGUCAAUGCAUUGGAAGCUUGUAUGGGUAUAUUAGUUCCCAGAUUAAAUGAUUUUUCGCUUGAUGAUGAAGACGGGUCUUUCUCUACUGAAAAGCCAUCUACAUCUGCAGAAAGUACAUCCUCAAGUAAAGUUGCAGUUGAAGAAGAAAACUUUGCCAUUGAAGAUGAGGCAAACCUAGAGUAUCGUGAGAGAGGAAUGAGCUCAAAGUAUGCCAUAGAAAUCUGUCUAAAUGAAGGUCCUGUUAUUCAUGAAAGCUCAGAAAAUAAAGCAGUUCUGGAAAAUGCUGUAGAUCAGCAUAAACUUCUAAGUAAUAAAUUUACAUCAAUGUUGAAGUCAUGGGAAAGAACUCUAUCCAAGAUUGGUAAAAAAGAGGAUUUAGAAAAAGUGGUUGAUUUAAAAAAAAAAGUUGAACAAGUGGUACAGAAAUUCAAAACAUUGAAAAUCAUUAAAAUGCGUGGAGAGGAUGAAGUCUCGACAGAUUCUGAACUGGAGGACGUUCCAAUCGAUGAAACUGUAGUUCUGGCAGCUGAAGAUCCCAACAAAGAGGCCAACAUAAAGGAUCCAAAACUCAGUGAAGCUGCUUCAACCAAUGAUAAAACAUGUGAGACUGCUAGUCAAAAAGGAGUUGUGGCAAAAGACAGCAAUGCUUGGAGUAUACUAUCUACAGAGGAAAAAGCAGAAGAUCCUACCAGUGCACAAGCAGCGCUACAUAGUCUGAAGAAAACUCCAAAGAAAUCCAAAAAACCCAAAGCUGAAGAAUCAAAAUCCUCAUCGGAGGAAUGCAGUCCAACUAAGCUCUCUGAAAGAAAGAAAAAACUUCUCGCUUUAGCUCCAAAAGUGCCGUUUGAUAUCGAUCUCUACCAUUGGGAAGAAAAUGAUGUUAAAGCUCCAACUUUGAUAGGAAAUGGCUCUGAAGGGCAUCGAUUUUGGUCAUCUGUAUCAGCAGAAGACAUGCAAGAAAUUCCUGUGCCAGAUGGUGCUGCCAGUUUGCGAACCAGAGUAAUUGAGUUUAGCGGUAAAUUUGAGCCUGUUAAGUGGGAGUGUCGAGCUCCAAUGCCAAACGGUCAAUUAUGUCCUCGCAAAGACAGAGUCAAGUGUCCUUUUCAUGGAAAAAUUGUUGGGAGAGACAAAACUGGUCAGGUCACCAACAUAGAGGAAAAGAUGAAACUACAAGAACAACAUGAAAAAGAACAGCAGGAACGUCCAGACUGGCAGGAUCCAGUUCUGCUCGCUGAGUUGAAGAAACAAACAGGCGUUGACUUAAAAAUGCCAGAAAGGACCAAAAAUGGUCGCCUCAAAAGGAAAACCAAGAAACAUCCAGGAUUAACAGAUUUAAAGCAAUAUGAAAAAACAUCAUUUAAUAGACUAUCCAAAAAAGUGUUUAAGAAGUCAACGAUGAUGAGGGUUGCCAGAGCAUUGGAUCGUGCAGAUCAAAGACGAUAUCGUGACAAAUAUGGGGAUCAAUUCAAUUACAUGUAUGACAGAUAAUGUGUAAAUUUGGUCCCAAAACUGCUACACUGUGAUACAUUUUAGGAGAAGAAACUUGCUGCUGGAACAUAUAGGAGCCAUCAGGUUGAAAGAGAAAUAUACAAAAAGGCUGGAGGUCUGCAAAUUUUUCAUCUCAUCAUUCGGCAAAUGAGACGUAGCUGAUGGUUACCUGGAUUGCUGACAAUGAUCAGAAUGGUAUUUGGGCUGUAUUUGACAAGUUGCGGAAUGAUGCUCUUAAAAAUGUCAGUGUUGCGCUGUACCAGAUCCAAUCGAGUCUCACCCUCCUUUUGACGAGCUCCAGCGGUGACGAUGCAUACUCUUGAGUUAGCCGUCACGGAAUAAUCUAGAAUUUAAGGUACAAUUAAAGUCAAUUAUAUUUUCUUUCAUUUUUUUAAGUGCAUUUAAGGCAUACAAUCUUUACAAUUUUGAAUAAGAAUAUGUCACCAUGUGUGUAAUUUAAAAAUUGGUCGACAAAACUGUUCACGAUCUCCCCUAAGUUCCUGUGCAAGAGAUAGGUAAUAUAGUCCAAUUAUAUAAUAUUUUUACAGCAUUUCAUUUAAGUUUGUAUUUUUUAAUUUUGUUUAUUAAAGCAUUGCAUCUUUCAAGCAAAA
Bemisia tabaci is the source of this 2989-nucleotide non-coding RNA. The record is from RefSeq and is a predicted model, not a curated record. Lineage: Eukaryota; Metazoa; Arthropoda; Insecta; Hemiptera; Aleyrodidae.